RNAcentral lists this ribosomal RNA (1423 nucleotides) under Toniniopsis subincompta. RNAcentral describes it as "LSU rRNA". It matches the Rfam family "Eukaryotic large subunit ribosomal RNA", at positions 14 to 1091 of the family's 3401-position model. The record is from RNAcentral. Lineage: Eukaryota; Fungi; Ascomycota; Lecanoromycetes; Lecanorales; Ramalinaceae.
GGUAGGGAUACCCGCUGAACUUAAGCAUAUCAAUAAGCGGAGGAAAAGAAACCAACAGGGAUUGCCUCAGUAACGGCGAGUGAAGCGGCAACAGCUCAAAUUUGAAAUCUGGCCGCAAUGACGGUCCGAGUUGUAAUUUGUAGAGGAUGCUUCGGGCGCGGUACCGGCCUAAGUUCCUUGGAACAGGGCGUCAUAGAGGGUGAGAAUCCCGUAUGCGGCCGGCCUCCAAGCCCACACGAAGCUCCUUCGACGAGUCGAGUUGUUUGGGAAUGCAGCUCAAAAUGGGUGGUAAAUUUCAUCUAAAGCUAAAUACCUGCCAGAGACCGAUAGCGCACAAGUAGAGUGAUCGAAAGAUGAAAAGCACUUUGGAAAGAGAGUUAAAAAGUACGUGAAAUUGUUGAAAGGGAAGCGCUUGCGACCAGACCUGCCCGCGGACGCUCAGCGGGGGUUCUCCCCCGUGCACUCGCCCGCGAUCAGGCCAGCAUCGGUUCUGGCGGUCGGAAAAAGGCCCCGGGAAUGUAGCUCCCCUCGGGGAAUAUUAUAGCCCGGAGCGACAUACGGCCAGCCGGGACCGAGGACCGCGCCUUCGGGCAAGGAUGCUGGCGUAAUGGUCGUAAGCGGCCCGUCUUGAAACACGGACCAAGGAGUCUAACAUCUAUGCGAGUGUUUGGGUGUCAAACCCAUGCGCGCAAUGAAAGUGAACGGAGGUGGGAGCCCGGUAGGGUGCACCAUCGACCGAUCCUGAAGUUUACGGAUGGAUUUGAGUAUGAGCAUAGCUGUUGGGACCCGAAAGAUGGUGAACUAUGCCUGAAUAGGGUGAAGCCAGAGGAAACUCUGGUGGAGGCUCGCAGCGGUUCUGACGUGCAAAUCGAUCGUCAAAUUUGGGUAUAGGGGCGAAAGACUAAUCGAACCAUCCGGGGAUCUCCCCAGCUUUCCGUGUGAGAGCUGCUAGGUGGUUAAUAAGCACCGCACCUGGGGUGCGGUCCUCAGCCCUCCGGGGUGACAAUGCUAAUAGCAUGAAUCUCUCGAAGUAUUUGACAGGUUAACAUGCUGCGGCAGCCGAUCCGGUCGGCGUCGUUCACAGACCAAACAGCAUUGGCCAGGUGAAGAACUUGGUUUUGAUAUGGCCGAGUCCUACUCCGUGACGGAGUGUGGUUCCGAAGGCAUCCUUUCGCGGUGUCAGCCCGGUGGGAUGUCCCUCCGACUGUUAUAAGGUCGAUGGGACAUCGCGGGCUUUCACCGCGUUUGGGGUCCUUGGAAACCACUCAGUAUUGACGCUAGUAGCUGGUUCCUGCCGAAGUUUCCCUCAGGAUAGCAGUAACGUUUUCAGUUUUAUGAGGUAAAGCGAAUGAUUAGAGUCCUUGGGGAUGAAACAUCCUUAAACUAUUCUCAAACUUUAAAUAUGUAAGAAGUCCUUGUUACU